CGUAGGUGGCAAGCGUUGUCCGGAAUUAUCGGGCGUAAAGCGCGCGCAGGCGGUCCUUUAAGUCUGAUGUGAAAGCCACGGCUCAACCGUGGAGGGUCAUUGGAAACUGGGGGACUUGAGUACAGAAGAGAAGAGUGGAAUUCCACGUGUAGCGGUGAAAUGCGUAGAGAUGUGGAGGAACACCAGUGGCGAAGGCGACUCUUUGGUCUGUAACUGACACUGAGGCGCGAAAGCGUGGGGAGCAAACAGGAUUAGAUACCCUGGUAGUCCACGCUGUAAACGAUGAGUGCUAAGUGUUAGAGGGUUUCCGCCCUUUAGUGCUGCAGCUAACGCAUUAAGCACUCCGCCUGGGGAGUACGGCCGCAAGGCUG
RNAcentral lists this ribosomal RNA (371 nucleotides) under uncultured organism. RNAcentral describes it as "bacterial SSU rRNA". It matches the Rfam family "Bacterial small subunit ribosomal RNA", at positions 526 to 896 of the family's 1533-position model. The record is from RNAcentral.